CAGUCGCCACGGGAAUACGAGGGGGGCAAGCGUUGUUCGGAAUUAUUGGGCGUAAAGGGUGCGUAGGCGGCUUGACAAGUCUUGUGUGAAAUCUAUGGGCUCAACCCAUAGUCUGCACGGGAAACUGUCGGGCUUGAGAAUGGGAGAGGUGAGUGGAAUUUCCGGUGUAGCGGUGAAAUGCGUAGAUAUCGGAAGGAACACCUGUGGCGAAAGCGGCUUACUGGACCAUCACUGACGCUGAUGCACGAAAGCUAGGGGAGCAAACAGGAUUAGAUACCCCCGUAGUCCCUGUCUCUUAUAC
Molecule: ribosomal RNA, 301 nt
Filed under: uncultured bacterium
Lineage: Bacteria
Description: partial 16S ribosomal RNA
Rfam family: Bacterial small subunit ribosomal RNA
Source: RNAcentral